AACAAUCAAUUAGUGAUUAUCUAUAAAAAAAAUCAAAGGACCUGAACAUAUGCUUCUCCAAUGGAUAAUCUAUCAUCAACUCAAAGUGUCAAAAAUUGUCAACUGAUCAUUUAUCAACAAGUUUGAAUUGAAGAAGAUUGAAUCAACCGAAGGAUAUUCAUCUAUGGAUGAUUUGAGAUGAUGAAGAUUAAUCAACUAAAAAAUCAAAAGAUGAAUAAAAU
This 221-nucleotide long non-coding RNA is filed under the name Lathyrus oleraceus (garden pea). RNAcentral's name for it is "Pisum sativum (pea) long non-coding RNA (PSAT_LNC002936)". The record is from RNAcentral. Lineage: Eukaryota; Viridiplantae; Streptophyta; Magnoliopsida; Fabales; Fabaceae.